UUCGUUGCCGAGCUUUCAUCAGCUUCUAUUUUCAAAUUUUCCACACAAAUAUGUGCAAUAGAAGCAUUCAUAUAUUUGUAUAUACAUGAAAAGUAAAUACAUCUAACACUUUCAUCCAGCCAUCCAACUUCUGAAUACCAAGAUCUGUGGUUUUCAGAAAAAUCACACAGCAGGGCCUGCAGCUGCACCAGGAAUUUUAGCUGUAGCAGUUGCAGCUUAAAGCCCAGGUGAGGUGUUCCUGCCCCAGGAGGACAGGCUGGGCAGGGGCUGGCAACUCCUUGAUACCCAAGGGGAUGCUGGCUCUCAACUUCAAGGGGAGCACAGGCACCCUUUGGCCUCAUUUCUGCCACUCUGUGUCCUGUUGGGUGGUUGGUCCCAGCCUGGAUCAGGACAAAUGCUGGAUGUAAGUUACCCUGGGCAACCUCAGGGCAGAGAGGGCAGUGGCAGUGAGGCUGAAACUUGGUUUAUGGGUGAAGGGAUUGCAGGUGGCAGAACUGCUGCUCCAAAUGUUUCUCAAUAGGGUUACUGCAGGUUUGGGAUUAAUACUGUAAAAUACUAUAAUUAUGGGUAUUUUUAUUAUGUAAAUUUAAGAGGAAUGGAAACAGCAUAUGAUUUUUUUUUAAUUAUUUUUUUCACAGCUUGUAUGUGGGUACCCAUGAGCUUUUUAGAUACUAUAUUAAAAAUUAAUUUCAAACAUGAAUAAGAAAUAGCAGGUGUGGAAAGUUUUGUCUCAGCUAGAAUGGGAAAUGCGAGGUGCCUUCCUGGAGCUCUGCUUCCAGUUUGCUGGCUUCCCAAAGUGCAUGGAACAAGUGUGUCUGUGACCAAUGGAGCCCAUAAAGCAUUUUGAAAUUGUCUCUAGUGCUCAUUUCUUUCUCCAGGAAGAACUAAUUUUAAAUAUUCCAGCAGGCCUUCCUGGAGAUACAGUACCUUUUUCCCCUGACUGCAUCUUUUUGCUGUUUCUUUUUUAAGAGAUCUCAUCUCACAGAUGUUUACUUACAGCCUCGUAUUGCCCAGAUGCAUCACUCAGAUGCAUCUCAGGCUCUCUACUCUGUUGGUUGGUCCCCUCAGCUGCUGUCUUUGGACAGCAGUGUAUCAGGAAGGAGCCACUGAUUAAUGAAGCUUGGUUAGACUAAAUUUAGGGGCAACAAAACAUUUCUGUAGAAGACACAGUGUUGGUGGUGCCUGGGAGGAAUGCAGACUGCACAAAUAAAUCUGUACUCCAGAGGGAGAGCUGACAUGAGACACACACAAGACACUCAGCAACCUUGUCUUCUGCACUUGCUUUUUAGUGUGCAUGGCCAGAAAGUCUAUUUUAUGAAGAAAUCCACAAACUCUGUGUGUCUGUCCAGGUGCAGGUCAAUGAGUUCAGUUCAGCAUGUGUUGCUGGGGUGGUCAUGUGAUGGUUCAAAUAGCAGCCAGUCUCCUGGAGGUACUUGCACAUGAACUGCUGAUGGAGGUACUGCUAGGUGAGGAGUCCUGCAGCCACAUUUGCCACAUCUCCUGGUGAUACGAUGGGAGCGCUGUGGCCUGGUGGUGCACCCAGCAGGGAGGAUGUGUGUAUUGCUUGGUGUUCACGUGGGACUCAGGGGCAGUUCACACGCUUGUAAAAUUGAUUUCAAAUAAAGGAAGCUCUAUUUUAAAAUUAGCAAUGCUGAAGCUUAAAAUUAUCUCUUCCUUUAUUACUAGGACAUAUUUUUAGGACCUAAUUCAUGUCUCGUGUGAAUGCAGUCCACCCACUGCUACGUUGGGAGUACUGAGCUGGAGUCUGAGGGCUGGGUGUUACAUCUUCCAGAAAUAGGUGCUACCCAAGAAUUUGAAUAUUUACAUUCUUUGCCUUUUAAAAAAUGUGUCCACUGAAUUGAGGCCUGUAUAUAGCUUUAAAAUAGUGAAAAAGUAAAGUAUGAACUGCUAGCCUUUGCUUUCCUGUAUUUUGAUCCUCAUUUUUAUUUUGGUUGCUUGAGGGGGAUCAUUGCUUAGUUUGCAACUAGAUGCAGCAAACUGGAAAAAAAGUCUCAAAUAUAGUCACAAUUUCUUGAAGGGGGGGGGGGGGGAAGAAAGUAUGUUUCCUGUUUUCUGCAGUCUCAUCUUGAGCUGCAGUACCACAGUGGUUGGCAUCCAUCGGUACCUGAAGCAAUUUAUGCCCCACUGUCUUCAGUGGUCAGUGUGAGGCUAAAACUAAUGACAUACCUACAUUACUUGCUCACUGAAGCACCUGCAGCUGGUGUUCAUGAUGGUAAGCUCAGCCAAAAAUCUUCUUCUGGGAGCCAAAGGCAGUGUCUGGCCUUCGGAGGAGUCUCCAGUACCUGGAUCAGUGGCAGUGGCUUUGAAGCAUGGAGUUCAGUAUGUCUCUACUAAUUAAAGAGCCCUGUUGGUGCAACAUUUAGCAAGCUAUCAAGCUAGAUGAUGAACUUCAAGGAGACAGGAGUUUACUUACCCCAGAAACAAGCCACUGCUCUCAUUAGUGCUGUUGCUACAGGCAGAAGCAGCCUGUGGUUGCGUGCUGCACCUUGCCCUUCCUGACUUUGAGCACACCACUUGCAACUGUGUUCAUCAUCCCCUUUCAGAUGUCACUACCCUACCCUGAAUAUUCAUGGUGUUAAUGAUGUCAUUAACACAGUGUGACCCUGCAGCCCUUAUUCCCAGGAGCUGCUCUGACAAAGCAAGGUAAGAUAACGACACAAGCCGGUGUGGCAGGAACAGGCCUUUGUCUUCUUGUCAGAGUGGCCAGAAUUUCCUCACACGCUGCUCCUGGACUCCAUCUGACACUAUCAUAGUCUUCUUACCGAGAAAGACCUAUUCUGAGGAGCAGGGCAACAAGGUUUUGGCAUCAAGUAGUGCAGCAGGAGGACUGUCUCAGUGCCUCUGUGUUUGAAAGGUAAGGAGAGCCCAAGGAGGCUUUCAGUACUGCCACCUCACAAAUAAAUCAGAAGUAUAAAUGAUGUAAAAUGUGUAUGUUUUGUCGUAGAACAGGGAUGGAAUUAUGCAUCCAAAAAAAAAAAGAAAAAAUCCCCAACUCAAGUCGUUAUUUUAUUUAAAAUAAUAAUAAAGCCUCUUAUUUGGGCACUCUACUCCACAGAUUAAUGUGAUCAACCCAAUAACCAUGUUCCUGAAAAAGUAAAAAA
Long non-coding RNA from Oxyura jamaicensis (ruddy duck), 3122 nucleotides. RefSeq lists it as uncharacterized. The record is from RefSeq and is a predicted model, not a curated record. NCBI's taxonomy places the organism in Eukaryota, Metazoa, Chordata, Aves, Anseriformes, Anatidae. The transcript is spliced from 2 exons.